GACGAACGCUGGCGGCGUGCUUAACACAUGCAAGUCGAACGGACAGGCCCUGCUUUUGUUGGGUGCUCGUGUGGCGAGCGCGUGAGUAACACGUGAGUAACCUGCCCUUGACUUUGGGAUAACUCUACGAGACUGGGGCUAAUACCGGGUAUGAGCUCCUGCUGCAUGGUGGUGGUUGGAAAGUUUCGGCGGUUGGGGAUGGACUCGCGGCUUAUGAGCUUGUUGGUGGAGUAGUGGCUUACCAAGGGUUUGACGGGUAGCCGGCAUGAGAGGGUGACCGGCCACAUUGGGACUGAGAGAGGGCCCAGAAGCCUACGGGCGGCAGCAGGGGAGAAUAUUGCACAGUGGGCGGGAGCCUGAGGCAGCAACGCCGGGUGCGGGAUGACGGCCUUCGGGUUGUAAACCGAUUUGGACUGUGACGAAGAGAGAGUGACGGUAAUGGGUAAAAAAGCAACGGCUAACUACGUG
This 468-nucleotide ribosomal RNA is filed under the name uncultured bacterium. RNAcentral's name for it is "partial 16S ribosomal RNA". It matches the Rfam family "Bacterial small subunit ribosomal RNA", at positions 28 to 507 of the family's 1533-position model. The record is from RNAcentral.